GCAACUUGUUUGAGUCUGGCCACUUGCUCACCAUCUGGAACUACUUCAUAUUCUUAUUACCAAAAAAAAAAUGAAAGAAAGAAAGAAACGAAAAAGAGAAAAAGGAUGAGUAACGCUGCUGGGUUGCCUUUUCUUUUGUACGUUUUGCUGGGUGCUUAACCCACCCAGGGCUCCCUCCCACCUGGAGGCACCCUACCAGCCACAGUUUAUCUGACACUCCGUUCGACUACAGAACUACUCCCUCGAAAUAUAAGACAGAGAACUACGCUGGAAAUUAGGAGACCUGAGCUGUAUCCCAGCUUCUGGCUCACUUCUGACACAAACCAUUCAACUUCCUUGAGCCCUGGAUUCCCGGAUUGUGAAACUAAGGAGCUGGGUGAUGUGAUUAUCUGCUGCUGUCUAUGGUCAGCUGAAAUUAGUGAGAGGUGGCUGCAUCUCUGCUUUACAUGUCUUCUCAUUCUGGUACCUAGGAUGAAAGAAUUGCCCUUACAUGAAGUGCUACAUUCUCCAGGCAAAGCUAUAAAUCCUGGAGAGAAUGCAUUGAGCAGCUAUUUGAAGACUAUGAAGAGUAAAGAGCAGACCAAUUAGAGAAGAUAAGAUCAAACUGGCAAUGUGAAUAUUUUGGACAUUUCAUGUAAAUGGAAUCAUACAAUAUAUAGGCUUGAGUUUGGACGGAAGUUGGUGUGGCUAUAAAAGGGCACAUGAGGAAUCCUUGUUGUGACGAAAAAGAUUGGUGAUGCUGAUUUGAACUACAAACAAAUUCUGACUAGAAUACUGGACUACAAAUCCCUUUGUGAAGGAAGGAGCCAUAUUAUUAAUUUGUCUGUUCUUCAUAUUUAACUCAUAUACAGAAGUGCUACUCAUGUAUGUCAAAUGAAAGAAGAAAAAAGAAAAGGAAGAAAGGGGGAGAGGAACCAAAAGAAAAAUUAGAAAGUGUAAAGGAUUGAGGAAAAAAGAAAAGAUUCGUGUAAGAAAAAGCUAAUUGACUGGCUAGCACAAGGAGCAACAUCUAGAAUGUAGUAGGAGAUGAAGAAAAUUAAGCACAGGAGAGAAAGCUGUCAUGAUUUGCCUUAAACCUCUAAUAGAAGCUGUAGUUAUGCUAAGUAGCAAUGUAGUUGCCCUGCCAGAUCUUGACCUAAAAGCCAGCUGGCUGAGGGGAAGGUGAUUGCCUCAGAAGGAAAAGGAUGAUAUAUGUGCGCAUGGAGCUAAGAGGGAAAGAGACCUGUAUUUUCGUCUCCACUCACCCACCUUCCAGGAACGAAGGUGUAUCACUUGGCCUCUGAUGCCGUGUUUAUAGUAUGGAUAAAAAAUCGUAUCACUAUGAAGACAAGACCUUAAAUCAAAUAAUAUUAAAGAUCUCUU
Molecule: long non-coding RNA, 1362 nt
Filed under: Equus caballus (horse)
Lineage: Eukaryota; Metazoa; Chordata; Mammalia; Perissodactyla; Equidae
Description: lncRNA (ENSECAG00000052550.1)
Source: RNAcentral